UGGCUCUUGCAUCGAUGAAGAACGUAGCGAAGCGCGAAAUGUAGUGUGAAUCGCAGAACACUGUGAAUCAUCGAAUCUUUGAACGCACAUUGCGCCUCUCUUUCGAGGGGCAUGCCUGUCUGAGCGUCAUUUAAACCAAUGGACUAGAUCCGUGUUGGGCCUCGCCCCCGUCGGCGUCGCCUCAAGGCCAUCGGUCUAAGAGCGGACGAGUUCCUUUAGGACAGACCGUUCGAUGACCCGAGUAUAUUUCUGAAUUGACCUCAGAUCAGGUAGGAAUACCGCCUGA
This 286-nucleotide unclassified non-coding RNA is filed under the name uncultured fungus. Its description in RNAcentral is "partial contains 5.8S ribosomal RNA and internal transcribed spacer 2". The stretch from base 1 to 129 matches the Rfam family "5.8S ribosomal RNA", at positions 22 to 154 of the family's 154-position model. Lineage: Eukaryota; Fungi. The record is from RNAcentral.